Molecule: ribosomal RNA, 328 nt
Filed under: Thelephoraceae sp. 'Taylor #5'
Lineage: Eukaryota; Fungi; Basidiomycota; Agaricomycetes; Thelephorales; Thelephoraceae
Description: LSU rRNA
Rfam family: Bacterial large subunit ribosomal RNA
Source: RNAcentral
UAAUGUAAUAAUUAGNNUGCUUUGUCAAUGCAUGCAUUGGUGGUGUCACAAAAUCGGAGGCCACGACUGUUUACUAAAAACACAAUUCAGAGCAAUGAUGAAAAUCAUAGUAUUCUGGAUGAAAUUUGCCCAAUGCCAUUAACAUAAAAGAGGUAAUAGGAAACUGUUACUAAUUGAAAGUCUGGUUAAUAGCGGUCUUAACUAUGAGGAUCCUAAGGUAGCAAAAUCAGUUGGCCAUUAAAUGUGGUCUGGUAUCAAUAGUGUAACGAUGGUCUCACUGUCUCUACAACUUGCUCAGUGAAAUUGAAUUAUCCGUGCAGAUGCGGAC